RNAcentral lists this ribosomal RNA (167 nucleotides) under uncultured bacterium. RNAcentral's name for it is "partial small subunit ribosomal RNA". It matches the Rfam family "Bacterial small subunit ribosomal RNA", at positions 26 to 190 of the family's 1533-position model. The record is from RNAcentral.
AGGACGAACGCUGGCGGCGUGCUUAACACAUGCAAGUCGAGCGGUAAGGCUCCUUCGGGAGUACACGAGCGGCGAACGGGUGAGUAACACGUGAGCAAUCUGCCCUUCACUCGUGGGACUAACCCUACGGAAACGAGAGCUAAUACCGGAUACGACCACUUCAGGCA